Molecule: unclassified non-coding RNA, 211 nt
Filed under: Hevea brasiliensis (rubber tree)
Lineage: Eukaryota; Viridiplantae; Streptophyta; Magnoliopsida; Malpighiales; Euphorbiaceae
Source: RNAcentral
AGAAAACAUGCCAAGGAUUGUUGAAUCAGCAAGAGAGUCCACGUGAUAUCGUGCAUCCGCCGCACAUAGAGAAAGAGAGAGAGAGAGAUAGGUUAUGUUUUCAAAAGGACAAGGAAGCACAGAUUUCAGUUAUGUGCGUGUAAAUUACAUACGGAUAGAGAUAGCUUCUGCGUAAGCUUCACAAAAUAUCAUCAUCAUUAUUAUUAUUAUU